CCCCUUAGAUGUUCUGGGCCGCACGCGUGCUACACUGAGUGGAUCAGCGGGUCAGGUUGCGCGAAAGCGUUUCCUAAUCUUGAAAUCCGCUCGUGAUGGGGAUUGACGGUUGCAAUUUUCUGUCAUGAACGAGGAAUACCUUGUAAGCGCGAGUCAUCAUCCCGCGCUGAAUACGUCCCUGCCCUUUGUACACACCGCCCGUCGCUCCUACCGAUUGAGUGGUCCGGUGAGGCUUUGGGAUCUGAGCGGAAAGAGCGUUUCGCUCGUUCUGCCCGGAAAACUCAGUCGAACCUUAUCAUUUAGAGGAAGGAGAAGUCGUAACA
Molecule: ribosomal RNA, 323 nt
Filed under: uncultured eukaryote
Lineage: Eukaryota
Description: partial 18S ribosomal RNA
Rfam family: Eukaryotic small subunit ribosomal RNA
Source: RNAcentral